UACGGGGGGGGUAAGCGUUGUUCGGAAUUACUGGGCGUAAAGGGCUCGUAGGCGGCCAACUAAGUCGGACGUGAAAUCCCUCAGCUUAACUGGGGAACUGCGUCUGAUACUGGAUGGCUUGGAUUCGGGAGAGGAAUGCGGAAUUCCAGGUGUAGCGGUGAAAUGCGUAGAUAUCUGGAGGAACACCUGCGGCGAAGGCGGGUUGCUGGGCUGAUACUGACGCUGAGGCGCGAAAGCCAGGGGAGCGAACGGG
This 253-nucleotide ribosomal RNA is filed under the name uncultured bacterium. RNAcentral describes it as "partial 16S ribosomal RNA". It matches the Rfam family "Bacterial small subunit ribosomal RNA", at positions 524 to 776 of the family's 1533-position model. The record is from RNAcentral.